GGUGAAAAGCACCCCGGAAGGGGAGUGAAAUAGAACCUGAAACCGUGUGCUUACAAGUAGUCAGAGCCCGUUAAUGGGUGAUGGCGUGCCUUUUGUAGAAUGAACCGGCGAGUUACGAUUUGAUGCAAGGUUAAGCAGUAAAUGUGGAGCCGUAGCGAAAGCGAGUCUGAAUAGGGCGUUUAGUAUUUGGUCGUAGACCCGAAACCAGGUGAUCUACCCUUGGUCAGGUUGAAGUUCAGGUAACACUGAAUGGAGGACCGAACCGACUUACGUUGAAAAGUGAGCGGAUGAACUGAGGGUAGCGGAGAAAUUCCAAUCGAACCUGGAGAUAGCUGGUUCUCUCCGAAAUAGCUUUAGGGCUAGC
This 364-nucleotide ribosomal RNA is filed under the name Staphylococcus aureus. RNAcentral's name for it is "partial 23S ribosomal RNA". It matches the Rfam family "Bacterial large subunit ribosomal RNA", at positions 513 to 880 of the family's 2925-position model. The record is from RNAcentral. Lineage: Bacteria; Bacillati; Bacillota; Bacilli; Caryophanales; Staphylococcaceae.